AACGUAGGUCACGAGCGUUGUCCGGAAUUACUGGGUGUAAAGGGAGCGCAGGCGGGUAUGCAAGUUGGGAGUGAAAUGCAUGGGCUCAACCCAUGAACUGCUCUCAAAACUGUGUAUCUUGAGUAGUGCAGAGGUAGGCGGAAUUCCCGGUGUAGCGGUGGAAUGCGUAGAUAUCGGGAGGAACACCAGUGGCGAAGGCGGCCUACUGGGCACCAACUGACGCUGAGGCUCGAAAGUGUGGGUAGCAAACAGG
Molecule: ribosomal RNA, 253 nt
Filed under: uncultured bacterium
Lineage: Bacteria
Description: partial 16S ribosomal RNA
Rfam family: Bacterial small subunit ribosomal RNA
Source: RNAcentral